UUGUGUGUGCACAGCCCCCACGCUGAAGCCUCCUUGCUCUGUGCUCAUCAUACGGAAUCUGACUGCCAAGAACCCUCUGAGCUUCAAGCACUGAGGCACCGAGGCGGGAGGCUGCCCAGGGUGGGAGUCUGCCUUUCUUAAACCCAGGCUGUUUCCCCAAGCUUCGAGCCACCUCCUCUGUGCUUACAGGCAGGUAAUAUGUUGCCCAGUGCGCGCCCCGCAGCCCUCCCUCCUGAGCCAGGAUUCCUGGUCCCCAAAGCGCUGGACAUGAACGCCCCAAAAGCCUUUCCAACACAGGAAGAAAGGGGGUCAUCUGGAACCUAGGAAGAGAGCCCUUCCCAAGGAACCAGUUGUGUCGGCAUCUUGAUCUGGGACUUCUGGCCUCCAGAACUGUGAGAAAUAAAUUUCUGUUGUUGGAGCAGCUCAGUCUGUGGUAUUCUGUCAUGGCCCAGAGCAGAGGCCUGAGGAGAGGCUCAGUUCCUAUCCGGGAGAGCCUGGUCGCUUCCCACUACCUCCUGGUCAAGGGCUGACCAGCUUAACUCAGCACCUGGCAGGGAAAGCCUGCCCCAGACCACAGACUUCCCUGAUGGGCAGACCUGGGACUUGCUCAAAGCCACUUAGAACCUUGGAAUCUGACAGGGUAUAAAGGUUACACAAAGGGAGCAUUCUUUGCUUUCCAGGGAUUAUUAGGUUUGCCACAAAUUCACUAAAGAUCCCUUUGGAGAGGCAGCUCUCUCCUCUUGCCUUUC
This 749-nucleotide long non-coding RNA is filed under the name Mustela putorius furo (domestic ferret). RNAcentral describes it as "lncRNA (ENSMPUG00000025245.1)". The record is from RNAcentral. Lineage: Eukaryota; Metazoa; Chordata; Mammalia; Carnivora; Mustelidae.